GAUGAACGCUGGCGGCGUGCCUAAUACAUGCAAGUUGAGCGAACAGAUAAGGAGCUUGCUCCUUUGACGUUAGCGGCGGACGGGUGAGUAACACGUGGAUAACCUACCUAUAAGACUGGGAUAACUUCGGGAAACCGGAGCUAAUACCGGAUAACAUAUUGAACCGCAUGGUUCAAUAGUGAAAGGCGGCUUUGCUGUCACUUAUAGAUGGAUCCGCGCCGUAUUAGCUAGUUGGUAAGGUAACGGCUUACCAAGGCAACGAUACGUAGCCGACCUGAGAGGGUGAUCGGCCACACUGGAACUGAGACACGGUCCAGACUCCUACGGGAGGCAGCAGUAGGGAAUCUUCCGCAAUGGGCGAAAGCCUGACGGAGCAACGCCGCGUGAGUGAUGAAGGUCUUCGGAUCGUAAAACUCUGUUAUCAGGGAAGAACAAAUGUGUAAGUAACUGUGCACAUCUUGACGGUACCUGAUCAGAAAGCCACGGCUAACUACGUG
This 497-nucleotide ribosomal RNA is filed under the name uncultured bacterium. Its description in RNAcentral is "partial 16S ribosomal RNA". It matches the Rfam family "Bacterial small subunit ribosomal RNA", at positions 28 to 507 of the family's 1533-position model. The record is from RNAcentral.